GCCUGGGUGGCUCAGUUGGUUGAGCGUCCGACUUCGGCUCAGGUCAUGAUCUCGCGGUCCGUGGGUUCGAGCCCCGCGUCGGGCU
This 85-nucleotide transfer RNA is filed under the name Felis catus (domestic cat). It matches the Rfam family "tRNA". Rfam says of the family: Transfer RNA (tRNA) molecules are approximately 80 nucleotides in length. The record is from Rfam by way of RNAcentral. Lineage: Eukaryota; Metazoa; Chordata; Mammalia; Carnivora; Felidae. RNAcentral also lists the same sequence under 2 other names.